AGUGAACGCUGGCGGUAGGCCUAACACAUGCAAGUCGAACGGCAGCACAGUAAGAGCUUGCUCUUACGGGUGGCGAGUGGCGGACGGGUGAGGAAUACAUCGGAAUCUACUUUUUCGUGGGGGAUAACGUAGGGAAACUUACGCUAAUACCGCAUACGACCUACGGGUGAAAGCAGGGGAUCUUCGGACCUUGCGCGAUUGAAUGAGCUGAUGUCGGAUUAGCUAGUUGGCGGGGUAAAGGCCCACCAAGGCGACGAUCCGUAGCUGGUCUGAGAGGAUGAUCAGCCACACUGGAACUGAGACACGGUCCAGACUCCUACGGGAGGCAGCAGGGGGGAAUAUUGGACAAUGGGCGCAAGCCUGAUCCAGCCAUACCGCGUGGGUGAAGAAGGCCUUCGGGUUGUAAAGCCCUUUUGUUGGGAAAGAAAAGCAGCAGGUUAAUACCCCGCUGUUCUGACGGUACCCAAAGAAUAAGCACCGGCUAACUUCGUG
RNAcentral lists this ribosomal RNA (492 nucleotides) under uncultured bacterium. RNAcentral describes it as "partial 16S ribosomal RNA". It matches the Rfam family "Bacterial small subunit ribosomal RNA", at positions 29 to 507 of the family's 1533-position model. The record is from RNAcentral.